This 426-nucleotide ribosomal RNA is filed under the name uncultured bacterium. RNAcentral describes it as "bacterial SSU rRNA". It matches the Rfam family "Bacterial small subunit ribosomal RNA", at positions 355 to 772 of the family's 1533-position model. The record is from RNAcentral.
UGGGGAAUUGUUCGCAAUGGACGAAAGUCUGACGACGCAACGCCGCGUGAAGGAUGAAGGUCUUCGGAUUGUAAACUUCUGUUGGGUGGGAAGAACUGUUUCCGGAUCAAUACCCCGGAGAUCUGACGGUACCACCUGAGGAAGCCCCGGCUAACUAUGUGCCAGCAGCCGCGGUAAUACAGAGGGGGCAAGCGUUGUUCGGAAUUACUGGGCGUAAAGGGCGCGUAGGUGGCCAACUAAGUCAGACGUGAAAUCCCCAGGCUCAACUUGGGAACUGCGUCUGAUACUGGCUGGCUUGAAUUCGGGAGAGGGAUGCAGAAUUCCAGGUGUAGCGGUGAAAUGCGUAGAUAUCUGGAGGAAUACCGGUGGCGAAGGCGGCAUCCUGGACCGACAUUGACGCUGAGGAGCGAAAGCUAGGGGAGCAAA